Molecule: unclassified non-coding RNA, 1839 nt
Filed under: Hevea brasiliensis (rubber tree)
Lineage: Eukaryota; Viridiplantae; Streptophyta; Magnoliopsida; Malpighiales; Euphorbiaceae
Source: RNAcentral
AAAAAAUCAGUUAUUCUUAAAAGGAUGAAUAUUACAUAAUUGUGAAUGAAAUAGCAUGAAAAAUAACACCCAAUAAUUUUUCCAAAAAGGCAUCACUUCAAUUACAUCCAAAAGGGGUAUACGCCUGAUUAAAAUACGUGAAAGAACACUGAAAUCCAUACUAAAUUAAAUCACUAGAACAUAUGAUAUAUCAAUUGUUCCUUAUCAAAAUGAUUUAGGAAACGGCUUUACUAAUAUGAUUUGAGCUCUUUAACAAUUGUAUACUUCUUGCAGGUUACGCAACUCCAAAAAAAUAAAAAGGCUUUAACAGAGAUGAGAGGACACCAUUCACCCAGUUGCCGAAAACCAACCGCACAUCAAGCAACUGAUUGGACUGCUCUUUCAAAGUUCUCUUCAGCAGAUGACGCACGUUUAACAAGUAUGUGAUCUGGAUGUGUAAGUGUCAAUUGACUGAGAUAUCGUGAAGAGGGUUUACCAAGGUGAAGACUGCAUACUACCAAAUUGGCUAAAGUCUCUGGAUCCUUUGCAUCCUUGUUUAGCGCUUCAAGCAACAAUGUCUCAGCUUCAUCAAAGUUUCCCAUGUGCAUGCAACAAACUGCCUUCCCAUUCAAGAUCAAGCUCGUCAUUGGAUACUUCUCAGAGAAAUCUUGAAAGAUGAGAUAUGCUUCCUGUAUCUUUGAACCACCAACUGCCAGAUUCAACCAUGCAUUUGCAAGUUGAGUUAGUGUGUGGUCCUCAUCAAUCUGCUGCAUGUACCUCAGCUGUUUCUCUGCAUAAUCUGACCUGUGCAUCUUAAGGAAUAUUUGGAUAUUCAAUGCAUGCCUGAAGAAGCAGAAACAAAACAAGGUGAUCGGAAAAUAAAGAAAUAGUUAAUUUUCUCCGCACAGAAUUUCUCCAUACAAUGGAUUAAAGCAUAACGCCACAGAAAUAAAAGGUCCUAAAUCGUUUGUCAUUUAGCCCAUAUCUGAUGUUCAUACAUAAGUACCUUUAUAAUUUUGGAACAGAAGCCAAAUAGUCUUGACAAACUCUAUGAGACUAUGACAAACCCUGAGAAUACGCAUUAUUUAAAGGGAAAACCAUGCUCCCAUUCAAAUUCCAAAUUAUCUAUUAUUGCAAAAAUUUGAUCAAACCUUGAUAUCUGGCAAUGUAUCCUCUUCCAGAUUACGGCAUGGACCUUUCAAUUUUCAUGUCCUGGCUCAAAAUCUUUUUAGAAAAGUUUAUCUAUUCCUGAAACAUGGCCAGAACCCAACCAAAAAUUUAGUUUGAGAAAAGACGUUCCUAAAUUUUGAAUUUUGUGUCAUCUCACUGAGGUAUGCUUUACAUAAGUCAUAGACAUCUAACUCUAAGUUAUAUCUAAAAUCUUUAUUUUUUCAAUCAGACACAUUGAUCUUCUAGAAUUAGAUAACUUGCCUGUUGCCACGCAAAAAUUCUAGUUACUUUGAUCCUUCAAUAAGUAUUAUAAUGAGUAAGAAAUUUACGGCAUGAUAAGUUGAAGAGUAAUAUAUGAGCCAAGAAUUCCUUGUUGACAUCAUAGUUAUGGCCAUUGCUUGAUUCAUGAUUCAGAUCCCAAAUAGGGAUGGCAAUAGAUAGCGUACCCACGAAAAUUACCCUACCCGAACCCGAUUAAUAUUUUCAAAAUCCGAACUCCUCCCAAACACAAUUAAAAUUUAUUCUCAACUACCCAAAUCCAUCCCAAGCCUGAUUAUUAUUACCCAAAAAAUACCCGAACUUAGUUAAUUUUAUAUUUUUUAAUUACAAAUCUAUAUAAAAAAUUAUUUUUAUUAAUAAUUUAUAUCCUAAAAAUUUAAUAAUUCUGUAAAAUAUUUCAGUUCUAUUUUA